Molecule: non-coding RNA, 21 nt
Organism: Caenorhabditis elegans
Lineage: Eukaryota; Metazoa; Nematoda; Chromadorea; Rhabditida; Rhabditidae
Source: Ensembl
UAAUGCGAACUUUUCUCUAUU